CUGACUUUCCCUCCUAAGGAGACUUCUUUAUCUAUACUGGAUAGUAAGCAAGCUUACCCAUUGUUCUGGAGGGAGACACUGUCUUUCUCUUCCAAGGAUGUUUAUUACACAAACAUCAUUGAAAAGAUAGUUUAUAACAAAGGGAGUCAAUUCCUCUGGUAUGAGAUGUGCAGAAAUGUGAGAGAUAAAACAGAAAGUCGCCUCCAAACACCGAGUGCCUUCAAUAUGCUUGACAGUGUGUUCAGUGGUAUAAAGGUAGAAUCAUCUUUCAAAGUUGAACAUUAGAUACCACAUGACUCAGCAACUCCACUCACAGAUGCCAUGAAUUAAGCAGCUUUGCUUCACCACAUAUUCCCUACCAUGAUGUCCUGCUUUAACACAGGCCCAAAAACAAUGGAGUCAACUGACCAUGAACUGGAACUUCUGAAAUCAUGAAACAAAAUAAACCUUUCUCCCCUUUAAAUGAAUUUCCUCAGACAUUUUGUCACAGUGACAGAAAGCUAACACAUAGGUAUAUCAUAAAAUUCUCAUAUCAAUCCUGUCUCCUCUUUCUUGAUACCUGAUUCCUCCUCUAAGUAAACAUUUUUUUUAAUUUA
Non-coding RNA from Ictidomys tridecemlineatus (thirteen-lined ground squirrel), 596 nucleotides. NCBI's taxonomy places the organism in Eukaryota, Metazoa, Chordata, Mammalia, Rodentia, Sciuridae. The record is from RefSeq and is a predicted model, not a curated record.